This 235-nucleotide ribosomal RNA is filed under the name uncultured Vannella. RNAcentral's name for it is "partial Bacterial large subunit ribosomal RNA". It matches the Rfam family "Bacterial large subunit ribosomal RNA", at positions 2212 to 2454 of the family's 2925-position model. Lineage: Eukaryota; Discosea; Flabellinia; Vannellidae. The record is from RNAcentral.
UAUCUGAUGCCUAAUCCCGCAUUAGCGGGAGACAUUGUGUGGUGGGUAGUUUGACUGGGGUGGUCGCCUCCAAAAGAGUAACGGAGGCUUUCAAAGGUACCCUCAGCACGCUUGGUAACCGUGCGUAGAGUGCAAUAGCAUAAGGGUGCUUGACUGUGAGGCCAACAAGCCGAUCAGGUAGGAAACUAGGAUAUAGUGAUCCGGUGGUUCCGCAUGGAAGGGCCAUCGCUCAAAG